This 252-nucleotide ribosomal RNA is filed under the name uncultured bacterium. Its description in RNAcentral is "partial 16S ribosomal RNA". It matches the Rfam family "Bacterial small subunit ribosomal RNA", at positions 524 to 776 of the family's 1533-position model. The record is from RNAcentral.
UACGGAGGAUGCGAGCGUUAUCCGGAUUUAUUGGGUCUAAAGGGUGCGUAGGCGGAUCGUUAAGUCAGUGGUCAAAUUGAGGGGCUCAACCCCUUCCCGCCAUUGAAACUGGCGAUCUUGAGUGGAAGAGAAGUAUGCGGAAUGCGUGGUGUAGCGGUGAAAUGCAUAGAUAUCACGCAGAACCCCGAUUGCGAAGGCAGCAUGCCGGCUUCCGACUGACGCUGAAGCACGAAAGCGUGGGGAUCGAACAGG